RNAcentral lists this ribosomal RNA (1114 nucleotides) under Salmonella enterica. Its description in RNAcentral is "partial 23S ribosomal RNA". It matches the Rfam family "Bacterial large subunit ribosomal RNA", at positions 1194 to 2290 of the family's 2925-position model. Lineage: Bacteria; Pseudomonadati; Pseudomonadota; Gammaproteobacteria; Enterobacterales; Enterobacteriaceae. The record is from RNAcentral.
CCGAAGCUGCGGCAGCGACACUGUGUGUUGUUGGGUAGGGGAGCGUUCUGUAAGCCUGUGAAGGUGUGUCGUGAGGCAUGCUGGAGGUAUCAGAAGUGCGAAUGCUGACAUAAGUAACGAUAAAGCGGGUGAAAAGCCCGCUCGCCGGAAGACCAAGGGUUCCUGUCCAACGUUAAUCGGGGCAGGGUGAGUCGACCCCUAAGGCGAGGCCGAAAGGCGUAGUCGAUGGGAAACGGGUUAAUAUUCCCGUACUUGGUGUUACUGCGAAGGGGGGACGGAGAAGGCUAUGUUGGCCGGGCGACGGUUGUCCCGGUUUAAGCGUGUAGGUGUGUGUUCCAGGUAAAUCCGGUUCACUUUAACACUGAGGCGUGACGACGAGGCACUACGGUGCUGAAGCAACAAAUGCCCUGCUUCCAGGAAAAGCCUCUAAGCAUCAGGUAACAUCAAAUCGUACCCCAAACCGACACAGGUGGUCAGGUAGAGAAUACCAAGGCGCUUGAGAGAACUCGGGUGAAGGAACUAGGCAAAAUGGUGCCGUAACUUCGGGAGAAGGCACGCUGACACGUAGGUGAAGUGAUUUACUCAUGGAGCUGAAGUCAGUCGAAGAUACCAGCUGGCUGCAACUGUUUAUUAAAAACACAGCACUGUGCAAACACGAAAGUGGACGUAUACGGUGUGACGCCUGCCCGGUGCCGGAAGGUUAAUUGAUGGGGUCAGCGCAAGCGAAGCUCCUGAUCGAAGCCCCGGUAAACGGCGGCCGUAACUAUAACGGUCCUAAGGUAGCGAAAUUCCUUGUCGGGUAAGUUCCGACCUGCACGAAUGGCGUAAUGAUGGCCAGGCUGUCUCCACCCGAGACUCAGUGAAAUUGAACUCGCUGUGAAGAUGCAGUGUACCCGCGGCAAGACGGAAAGACCCCGUGAACCUUUACUAUAGCUUGACACUGAACAUUGAGCCUUGAUGUGUAGGAUAGGUGGGAGGCUUUGAAGUGUGGACGCCAGUCUGCAUGGAGCCGACCUUGAAAUACCACCCUUUAAUGUUUGAUGUUCUAACGUGGACCCGUUACCCGGGUUGCGGACAGUGUCUGGUGGGUAGUUUGACUGGGGCGGUCUCCUCC